Molecule: microRNA precursor, 71 nt
Organism: Choloepus hoffmanni (Hoffmann's two-fingered sloth)
Lineage: Eukaryota; Metazoa; Chordata; Mammalia; Pilosa; Megalonychidae
Gene: MIR186
Product: microRNA 186
Source: Ensembl
ACUUUCCAAAGAAUUCUCCUUUUGGGCUUUCUGAUUUUAUUUUAAGCCCAAAGGUGAAUUUUUUGGGAAGU